UACGGAGGAUGCGAGCGUUAUCCGGAUUUAUUGGGUUUAAAGGGUGCGUAGGCGGUCUGUUAAGUCAGCGGUAAAAUUGCGGGGCUCAACCCCGUCGAGCCGUUGAAACUGGCAGACUUGAGUUGGCGAGAAGUACGUGGAAUGCGCGGUGUAGCGGUGAAAUGCAUAGAUAUCGCGCAGAACUCCGAUUGCGAAGGCAGCGUACCGGCGCCACACUGACGCUGAGGCACGAAAGCGUGGGGAUCGAACAGG
RNAcentral lists this ribosomal RNA (252 nucleotides) under uncultured bacterium. Its description in RNAcentral is "partial 16S ribosomal RNA". It matches the Rfam family "Bacterial small subunit ribosomal RNA", at positions 524 to 776 of the family's 1533-position model. The record is from RNAcentral.